CGUCAAGUCAUCAUGGCCCUUACGACCAGGGCUACACACGUGCUACAAUGGCGCAUACAAAGAGAAGCGACCUCGCGAGAGCAAGCGGACCUCAUAAAGUGCGUCGUAGUCCGGAUUGGAGUCUGCAACUCGACUCCAUGAAGUCGGAAUCGCUAGUAAUCGUGGAUCAGAAUGCCACGGUGAAUACGUUCCCGGGCCUUGUACACACCGCCCGUCACACCAUGGGAGUGGGUUGCAAAAGAAGUAGGUAGCUUAACCUUCGGGAGAGCGCUUACCACUUUGUGAUUCAUGACUGGGGUGAAGUCGUAACAAGGUAACCGUAGGGGAACCUGCGGUUGGAUCACCUCCUUACCUUAAAGAAGC
Molecule: ribosomal RNA, 363 nt
Filed under: Salmonella enterica
Lineage: Bacteria; Pseudomonadati; Pseudomonadota; Gammaproteobacteria; Enterobacterales; Enterobacteriaceae
Description: bacterial SSU rRNA
Rfam family: Bacterial small subunit ribosomal RNA
Source: RNAcentral